GCUGUUAUAGCUCAGGUGGUAGAGCGUCGCCUUGGUAAGGCGGAGGUCACGGGUUCAAAUCCCGUUAACAGCU
RNAcentral lists this transfer RNA (73 nucleotides) under Eubacterium sp. RNAcentral's name for it is "tRNA-Thr". It matches the Rfam family "tRNA". Rfam says of the family: Transfer RNA (tRNA) molecules are approximately 80 nucleotides in length. The record is from RNAcentral. RNAcentral also lists the same sequence under 2 other names. Lineage: Bacteria; Bacillati; Bacillota; Clostridia; Eubacteriales; Eubacteriaceae.